This is a long non-coding RNA of Symphalangus syndactylus (siamang), 965 nucleotides long. RefSeq lists it as uncharacterized. The record is from RefSeq and is a predicted model, not a curated record. NCBI's taxonomy places the organism in Eukaryota, Metazoa, Chordata, Mammalia, Primates, Hylobatidae.
AUCUGUAAAAUAGUAUGAGAAUAGUCACUGUGUUCUAAGAUUGCUUUGAAGAUUAACAUGAGUUAAUAAUAUCUAUAAUACUUACAAGGGUGCCUGGCACACAGUAACCAUGCAUAAAUGCUAAUUAUUAUAUUUACUAUUAGUAGUAAUUGGACAGGUAGCAAAGAAGAUCCUUCAACUUUCUAUGUCUCUCAGUGGUCUGAAACUUCCAUCUGAUACUAUUUAAAAGAAUUUGGGUAAGUCCUCAUACAGAAAAUGAGUCUUUCUUAAUUUUGGAAUGAUGAAAAAACACUGGGUUUUAGUCCCACCAGGAUCUUCUACCUGGAAAGGAACUGAGCCAGGUGGGUGGGCAGUACAGCAAUGGAAGGAGGGAGUAGGGAACUGAUCCUGUCUGCAAAGACAAGAGAACAAGGAGACCCUGGGGAAUGCAGAACCUGGCACUGUUUUCCUCCAACUACCAUGAAAAUGGCCAGACUGCCUGAUAUGGUUUGGCUGUCCCAACUUGAAUUUUGUCUCCUAGAAUUCCCACAUGCUGUGGGAGGGACCCAGGGGGAGGUAAUUGAAUGAUGGGGGCCGGUCUUUCCCAUGAUAUUGAAUAGGUCUCAUGAGAUCUGAUGGGCUUAUCAGGGAUUUCCACUUUUGCUUCUUCCUCAUAUUCUCUUGCCACCACCGUGUAAGAAGUACCUUUCACCUCCCGCCAUGAUUCUGAGGACUCCCCAGCCAUGUGGAAGUCACACACACGUACUCCUGAACUGGACACCUGGCCAGGCCAAGGAAAAAGGAGAAACUCUUUUGUAAGGUGGGAAGGAUGCACCCCCUUAGCUACAGACAGGCUUCCAGGUGGCUCGCCUUCUACUAGUAGAACAGACUUGCUUGCAUAUGAAAUGGCCUGCCAGUGAGGAUAUGCACUGUAAUGUGGUUUCAGUAGCAAAUGUGCAACCAAUCUACAUCUCCAUAAAUAAGAG